AGCAGCCGCGGUAAAUUCCAGCUCCAAUAGCGUAUAUUAAAGUUGUUGCAGUUAAAAAGCUCGUAGUUGAAUUUCGAGACCGGCUUACUGGUCGUGCUAUUGUACGUACUGGUAUAAUCGGUUUCUCCUUUCCGACGAACUUUAAUGCCAUUAAUUUGGUGUUUUAGGGAAUCAGGACUGUUACUUUGAAAAAAUUAGAGUGUUUAAAGCAGGCUCACGCUUGAAUACAUUAGCAUGGAAUAACGGAAUAGGACGUUUGAUUCUAUUUUGUUGGUUUCUAGGAUCGACGUAAUGAUUAAUAGGGAUAGUUGGGGGCAUUAGUAUUCAAUUGUCAGAGGUGAAAUUCUUGGAUUUAUUGAAGACUAACUACUGCGAAAGCAUUUGCCAAGGAUGUUUUCAUUAAUCAAGAACGAAAGUUAGGGGAUCGAAGACGAUCAGAUACCGUCGUAGUCUUAACCAUAAACUAUGCCGACUAGGGAUCGGAUGAUGUUAAUUUUUUAAUGACUCAUUCGGCGCCUUACGG
Molecule: ribosomal RNA, 523 nt
Filed under: uncultured Glomus
Lineage: Eukaryota; Fungi; Glomeromycota; Glomeromycetes; Glomerales; Glomeraceae
Description: SSU rRNA
Rfam family: Eukaryotic small subunit ribosomal RNA
Source: RNAcentral